GAUGAACGCUGGCGGCGUGCCUAACACAUGCAAGUCGAACGGAGUCGUUUUGGAAAUCUCUUCGGAGAUGGAAUUCUCGACUUAGUGGCGGACGGGUGAGUAACGCGUGAGCAAUCUGCCUUUAAGAGGGGGAUAACAGUCGGAAACGGCUGCUAAUACCGCAUAAAGCAUUAAAUUCGCAUGUUUUUGAUGCCAAAGGAGCAAUCCGCUUUUAGAUGAGCUCGCGUCUGAUUAGCUAGUUGGCGGGGUAACGGCCCACCAAGGCGACGAUCAGUAGCCGGACUGAGAGGUUGAACGGCCACAUUGGGACUGAGACACGGCCCAGACUCCUACGGGAGGCAGCAGUGGAGAAUAUUGCGCAAGGGGGGAAACCCUGACGCAGCAACGCCGCGUGAUAGAAGAAGGCCUUCGGGGUGUAAAGAUCUUUAAUCAGGGACGAAACAAAUGACGGUACCUGAAGAAUAAGCUCCGGCUAACUACGUG
RNAcentral lists this ribosomal RNA (483 nucleotides) under uncultured bacterium. RNAcentral describes it as "partial 16S ribosomal RNA". It matches the Rfam family "Bacterial small subunit ribosomal RNA", at positions 28 to 507 of the family's 1533-position model. The record is from RNAcentral.